GACGAACGCUGGCGGCGUGCUUAACACAUGCAAGUCGAGCGGUAAGGCCCUUUCGGGGGUACACGAGCGGCGAACGGGUGAGUAACACGUGGGUGACCUGCCCUCAGCUCUGGGAUAAGCCUGGGAAACUGGGUCUAAUACCGGAUAUGACCCCAUGACGCAUGUCGGUGGGGUGGAAAGCCUUGUGCGGCUGAGGAUGGGCCCGCGGCCUAUCAGCUUGUUGGUGGGGUNAUGGCCUACCAAGGCGACGACGGGUAGCCGCCUGAGAGGGCGACCGGCCACACUGGGACUGAGACACGGCCCAGACUCCUACGGGAGGCAGCAGUGGGGAAUAUUGCGCAAUGGGCGUAAGCCUGACGCAGCGACGCCGCGUGGGGAUGAAGGCCU
Molecule: ribosomal RNA, 387 nt
Filed under: uncultured bacterium
Lineage: Bacteria
Description: bacterial SSU rRNA
Rfam family: Bacterial small subunit ribosomal RNA
Source: RNAcentral